GAUGAACGCUGGCGGCGUGCCUAAUACAUGCAAGUCGAGCGAACAGACGAGGAGCUUGCUCCUCUGACGUUAGCGGCGGACGGGUGAGUAACACGUGGAUAAACUACCUAUAAGACUGGGAUAACUUCGGGAAACCGGAGCUAAUACCGGAUAAUAUAUUGAACCGCAUGGUUCAAUAGUGAAAGACGGUUUUGCUGUCACUUAUAGAUGGAUCCGCGCCGCAUUAGCUAGUUGGUAAGGUAACGGCUUACCAAGGCAACGAUGCGUAGCCGACCUGAGAGGGUGGUCGGCCACACUGGAACUGAGACACGGUCCAGACUCCUACGGGAGGCAGCAGUAGGGAAUCUUCCGCAAUGGGCGAAAGCAUGACGUAGCAACGCCGCGUGAGUGAUGAAGGUCUUCGGAUCGUAAAACUCUGUUAUUAGGGAAGAACAAAUGUGUAAGUAACUAUGCACGUCUUGACGGUACCUAAUCAGAAAGCCACGGCUAACUACGUG
This 497-nucleotide ribosomal RNA is filed under the name uncultured bacterium. RNAcentral describes it as "partial 16S ribosomal RNA". It matches the Rfam family "Bacterial small subunit ribosomal RNA", at positions 28 to 507 of the family's 1533-position model. The record is from RNAcentral.